This 449-nucleotide ribosomal RNA is filed under the name uncultured bacterium. Its description in RNAcentral is "bacterial SSU rRNA". It matches the Rfam family "Bacterial small subunit ribosomal RNA", at positions 331 to 794 of the family's 1533-position model. The record is from RNAcentral.
CCAGACUCCUACGGGAGGCAGCAGUGGGGAAUAUUGGGCAAUGGGCGCAAGCCUGACCCAGCAACGCCGCGUGAAGGAAGAAGGCUUUCGGGUUGUAAACUUCUUUUCUCAGGGACGAAGAAAGUGACGGUACCUGAGGAAUAAGCCACGGCUAACUACGUGCCAGCAGCCGCGGUAAUACGUAGGUGGCAAGCGUUAUCCGGAUUUAUUGGGUGUAAAGGGCGUGUAGGCGGGAGCGCAAGUCAGAUGUGAAAACUCAGGGCUCAACCCUGAGCCUGCAUUUGAAACUGUGUUUCUUGAGUGCUGGAGAGGCAAUCGGAAUUCCGUGUGUAGCGGUGAAAUGCGUAGAUAUACGGAGGAACACCAGUGGCGAAGGCGGCCUGCUGGACGAUGACUGACGUUGAGGCUCGAAAGCGUGGGGAGCAAACAGGAUUAGAUACCCCCGUAAC